Hyalella azteca is the source of this 2090-nucleotide long non-coding RNA. RefSeq lists it as uncharacterized. The transcript is spliced from 5 exons. Lineage: Eukaryota; Metazoa; Arthropoda; Malacostraca; Amphipoda; Hyalellidae. The record is from RefSeq and is a predicted model, not a curated record.
CAGUUAAAAUUGUGGUACUUGACGACUGGGUUGGUGCGCCGUGUUACCGCACUUAGGCAAAAUUAACGGGGAGAUUUGGAUGGCGAAACUCUGCGUGGGUUAGCUGCUGUGAUUUCAGGCAUCAUGCUGCUGACAAGGGAAGAAUUUAGCGAUUUUCACGAGUUGCCUGGCAAGUGCAAACCAGGCAUGAAGGUUUUCCUUUACAUAUUCAUACCAAUUUGUAUAUAUUUCGUGUUGGGCUGUUUGAAAGACACCUCAGAGUAUUCGGCAGGUUGGAUAUUUGCCCUCAAAGGCAUAGCUUUGGCGUGUCGAUUCUUCUUGCUCAUGAUGGCCUUUCUGGUGGUACGAAGAACGUACAUUAUCGCGAGGAGACCACGAAUACAGAACAAUCGUCUAAUGAACUUCUACGCCGUAAAUGGACCAAUUGUGGCACGUUUCGAAGACUAGGCUUUGGUUGGUGUUAACAUUGUGGAGGCUGAAGCUUGAAGACUUAGUCGAUCUUCUCGGGAAUGUUUAUGCCUUUAUGGUUUGAUUUCCUGCCGUAUUUUAGUACUUGACGAAUAUAGCUGGCAGAGGACCAGCUUUCGAUUCGAACAUUUGGUUGCCGGAGAGCACACUAUUGAAAUUUUUAUUGAAAGAAUGAAAUAUAGAUUUUAAUGUCCUGCCUAAAUCAAUUUCCUUGACCUGACGUCAGCUUCCAGACGUCAAUUCUGCCAGAGUUGAUUCAAGAGUUAUUUGCUGAAGUCAUGAUCGAGAUGACUAGUGUGAACUAGCUCUAUUGAUGUCACACGGCCAGUCUACUUUCUGCGCCAGCCAGUUACAAUUAAACCGAAGUUUAUUUGCCUAUGAAUUAGGCUGCUGUGAACGAUGUGUACCAACAAAUCAUGCUAACUUUUAGCGGUGUAACCCUUCCAUACCUACAGAUUAGAACUGCCAUUUUCUUCCACGAGAUAUGUAAAAUUGAAACUUUUAUAGUGUAGCAUAGGGACUGUAUCCUGUAUCAAGCCCCCUAUUUUUUGCCGAGUGAUCGAAGCCAUAGCGUGAGUAUUAGGGUCAGUACUAUAUGUUGAUAAUUGACAAUUCUCUUGUCGAUUUCAACAUGCCAAAGAUGAUGGAUUCGAAGAAUAAUGAUACAGGAGGUCGUGAAGGAAUAUGUUCUUGUACAAAAUAAUAAAGUUUAUUAUUGUUGGGGUUUUGAAACUGUGUGAAGAACUAUCCGAUUUAAAAACGGCUACAUAUCCAUGACGAAGCAUGUGGAGAGCAACGGUCUUGAAUUUAUACCGUAGUUGACAUUAGUAGAGGCAUAUCGUCGUAUUGAAGCAGGAGGAUACCGGUAGAUGUAUAGAGCCUUCUUUGGUCCGAGCACUUCUCCAAACGCCAUCGUGAGAUAUUUUAAUCUUGUGCUAAAUGAAUCUCCUGGGCUCUCUUUGAAACCUAAUCAUUACGUUGUUGGCUAAAUGGUUGCAACAAUGAACGAUAAAAUAUUACCGUUGUCGAAUAGCUUCCACUAUAAAAUAGUUAGACAUGUGCGAUUCUUGGGGGUAAUCGACGUUUUCGCCGUCCGAUUUACGCAGUUGAUUUCAAUGAGCUAUGCGAUCGAUCAAUGUAUUGGUAAAUUACUCGGUGAAUAUAUAGUUGAGCACAGACAAACUUAAAGUACAGUGGCCGAGCUCCUUGACAGCGAUCGGGCAGAGAGGGGCCUCUUAAAUCAGAAGUCUUCAACCCAGGCGAAGAUAAAGAGUGACCGCGCCAAUUGGAACUACAGACGUCCAGAUGGAAAUAAUCACAAUGGGCUCCGAUUCAAAUAAUUUUUAUGAUACUGCAGGACAAAACUUAUCGAAGGCAAUGAAAAUAAUACCAAUCUCUUGCUGCUGUGUCCUUGGGCUCGUUUAUAUUGUCGCAGAUUUGUCUGAGGGAGAUAAGAAAGGCGUGUUGGUGGUCCUCAUGUGCUUCGCCAUUGUCGUGUUGGUGCAAGUCUACCUCUACUUGCCUAAUAAAUACCUGCAAUUCAUGAAUCGACAUUCGGAAGUAGUUUUUGAAUGAUUGCUGCUACUAUAUAUUCAAACCUUAUAAUAAUUAUUGUUAGACUG